GGCUCUGACAGACUAACAGGAUUUUCCUAGUAACGGCGAGUGAACGGAAAUUAGCCCAGCAUCGAAGCCUAUCCAUAUUUAUGGACAGGGCAAUGUGAUGUUCAAGUUUCAACCUGGAUACGCUAGUCUACUCGAAGUCCAACUCCGAUUACGGCUUUGGAUUUACUGCCAUUGAGGGUGAAAGACCCGUUCGUGUAGACAUUACUGUUUUUAGCGUGUCUUAGAUGUUGUUACUUUAGAGUCGGAUUGCUUGAGAAUGCAGUCCAAAGUGGGUGGUAAACUCCAUCCAAGGCUAAAUACUGGCACGAGUCCGAUAGUAAACAAGUACCGUGAGGGAAAGUUGAAAAGUACUCUGAAGAGAGAGUAAAUAGUACGUGAAGCUGCCUGCAAGGAAGCUGGUGGAGUCAAGCUUCUUAGGAUUUGAAUUGGUGCGGAGAAUUAAUGUAAUUUGGGCCAAUUGUGUAUCAGCUUGAAAAUGGCUGGAUAGGUUUACCUAUCUAAGGCGUUCCGGGUUGUACGCUUAUAAUGCAUUCUAUAUUAUGGCUCAUUCUCUUGUACUGUUUCUUAUCCUUAACAUCACAGUCAAUGUGCUUUAUAUUGUAUGAUAGUCUAACCGUGGCCUUUGUGGACUUCGUUUCACUGGCCAUGGAAUGGCAGGUGAAGAUAUGUGGACCCUGGUUUACAUGUUUUAUAAUAUUGGUUUUAAACCUUGCUGAUUAUCAUAUUAUUGUUGUUAUAAAAUUAAUUAAGCGCAUUGUUCUUAUAUCAUUAAUAACCGUAAGGUUAUUAUGAUGAGAGCUGUGGUGCCGAGGUAGACGUUCCACCCGACCCGUCUUGAACCCCCGGACCAAAA
This 853-nucleotide ribosomal RNA is filed under the name Hamatopeduncularia malayanus. Its description in RNAcentral is "partial large subunit ribosomal RNA". It matches the Rfam family "Eukaryotic large subunit ribosomal RNA", at positions 49 to 671 of the family's 3401-position model. The record is from RNAcentral. Lineage: Eukaryota; Metazoa; Platyhelminthes; Monogenea; Dactylogyridea; Ancylodiscoididae.